Hibiscus syriacus is the source of this 125-nucleotide long non-coding RNA. RefSeq lists it as uncharacterized. Lineage: Eukaryota; Viridiplantae; Streptophyta; Magnoliopsida; Malvales; Malvaceae. The record is from RefSeq and is a predicted model, not a curated record. The transcript is spliced from 3 exons.
ACGCACAAAAUUUUCUUUUAAUGUGGUCAGCAUCUGGUUCAGGCAUUCAAUAAUGUUCUGCCAGUGACUGGCAGGAGAAGUAUCGUCUUUUGAUUCUUCAGAUGUUUUUGAGGCUUCAUUUGAAU